Peromyscus californicus insignis is the source of this 8856-nucleotide long non-coding RNA. RefSeq lists it as uncharacterized. Lineage: Eukaryota; Metazoa; Chordata; Mammalia; Rodentia; Cricetidae. The transcript is spliced from 2 exons. The record is from RefSeq and is a predicted model, not a curated record.
AUGGAGAAAGUUAGUCACUGGGGGUGGCCUUUGAGAGCUUAAAGGCUCACCCUAUUUCCAGUUUGCUCUCUGUGCUUAGUACUUGCCGUUGAGAGUGUGAACCCUCAGCUUCCUGCUCCUGCCUCCCUGCCUGCUGCUUGCUGCUAUGCCUCCACCGUAAUGGACUCUUACCUCCCUGGAACCGUAAGCUCAGAUAGACUGUGACUGCUCUGGUUGUGCAGCUUUGUCACAGCAGCAGAGAGAGUGCCUCACACAGCUGGGCAGCGGUAAAAUGCAUCCAGAACUCACUAGGAGAGUUCACACUGAAGACACGAGCUAGGGCCUCGUGUCUAGAUGGUUUUUGAAGCUUCAGUAUGAAUGAUAAUUGUGGUAUGAGAGUUUCAAGUGAGGACAGGGGGAAACGGAGACUAGACGUUCUGGGACAAAUCUUCAGGGAAAUUUGAUGUCUCCGAAAGAUGCUGAGUCAGAGAUAUCUAAGAAGAAGGCAGAGAGUGAAAAAUCAAAGAUGUGUAACUAACAUAGGAGGUUGCAAGACAUGGAAGUCAUGGGAAGGAGGAAGUUUCAGGAAGUUGUCAUCACUUGUGGGUACCACUGAGGAGCUCAAGCAAGAUGAUGAGCAGAAGAUGUCAUCUGACUUAUGAAAGUACAUGCCACUUGAUGAGCCCCAUGGAAGUUUUUGGUGGUGCUGGUAGCUGGGUGCCUGAUUGAAAGUGAGUGAAGAUGAGAAAAUGGAGUGAUUCCAUAGCUUAUUCCUGGUCUCUCUGGAAGGUGAGGCUGCUAGUUUUAUUAUCUCAUUUCUCUGUGUGGUGCUUUGAAAGAAAAUGACUCCAAUAUACUCUCAGGGAGUGGCAUUAUUGGAGGUGUGGCCUCGUUGGAGGAAGUGUGUCAUCGGGGGUGGGCUUUGAGAUCUUAGAAGUUCAAGCAGAUCUAGUGUGUCUCAUCUCUUUGCUGCCUGCAGAUCCAGAUGUAGAACUCUCAACUUCCUCUCCAGCACCAUGUCUGCCUGCACACCACAUGCUUCUUGCUGUGACAAUUAUGGACUGAAACUCUGAACCUCAAUGCUAAGAAGGACUGGCAGAUGGCAAGACUCACCACAUUCUGCUUCCUGUGACCAAUGUCUUCUCGAUGUCACACAGCCAAGUGAACUCUGGCAGGCACUGUGUCCUGAUGGAGGACAUUAAAUCCAAAACUGUGAGGUAAAUAAGGCUCUAUUCCUUAUGGAAGACUCAGACCCUGUUAAUUCAUUAUAGUGAAAGGAAAUAUAAGAAUGGGGAGAAAUUUAUGUUUUUAUGUCAUGCUCAACUUUGACAUGAUUUGAAGAAUUAUUCUUUUUUUUUCUGGCAUUCCAUGUUAGGAAUUAGAUUAUACUCAAAUAAAAGUAAUAGAAUUCAGUUUCUUCAUGUUAAAAUUGGUAUUGAUGAUGAGAUAUCUUACUUGGUAAGAGAUGACUUGAAAGAAAUAUCAUAGUCAUCUUCAAAUGCUUUACUCCAUGGGAAAGAAAGAAAGACUAGUGGGCAGAAACUCUGAGAAGAUGCACAUCGCCUCAUGAGUAAGCAAAUUCUAAUAGGUUUUCUGUAACACAAUAAUAGGUUUCUCGCCAAUGGAGUAAACCAGGUCAAGCUGAAUUGAAAAAGUAAAAGAACAGGUUUAUUCAAGCAAAGCAACUCCCAGGUAAGUUUUCCAGUCCCAGAGAUAGGUAGGAGAAGUCACAUGCCUGAACUAAAGCAAGGGUUUAUAUAGCCUGUAGGCAAGGGGUGAUGACGUAUUCACCACAAGCUGGGUUUGUGCCCAAGUAUGGUCAAAAACUGAAUGCUUUAGGAAGGGACUUGGGCUGCUGACAACUUCAGAGCAGGAGCCACCAUAGCCAUCAAGAAUGCAGAACUGGACUUUUUGAUGCCUUUUCUUUGUUGGAGAUUCUCUGAGAGCGUGGGGUUUGGAGAGAGAUAUAGGGCUUCUCAGAUCGUGCUGGAGGGAGCUGGAGGUUCCAACCAAACAAAUCCUUACAAAGAUUUCUGAAGUUCCAAAUAGGCUGCCUUGAGGAAUCAGUAAGCUCUGCAGCUUUGGAGCUUGUCUCAGUCCAUUCUCUGCUUCUCUAACAGAAUGCUGGUAGUUUUAAGUGGCUGAGGUUGGUAGAGUGUUUGCCCAGCAAGCACAAAGCCUGGGUUCAAUCCCCAGUACCACUUACCAUUUGUGAGGUGGAGGCAGGCAGACCUGCUUCAGUGGGGUCCCAAAGAGGGGUGUGUAGAGACAGGGGAUGGGUGUAAGGAGGUGAAUCAUUAUGUCUGCCAGCAUCAUUUAUUGAAAAAACAAUAAUACAUUUUUUAUUACACAUAGAAUUAAAGAGGAGAAAAGAGGCAUGUGAGCUGAGGUGUGACUUGAGAUCAGAGGUUGAGGAAUCUACCAUUGACCUUGACAACAGGCACUAGUCAUAUGUUAACGAAAGGGCCACAAGAUCCUCUUGCCAGAGAUAAGAAGAUGACUGCUUUAACAAGCAGCAACUUUCUUCAAGCCCUGGAGGGAAUGGAGGCCCUUAUCCAAAUGCCGGACCUUGGAGAAAGGAUUCUUUCUGGAGACCAGACACUUGUUAAUAUUCUGAUCCGCCCCUUGAAAUCCCACCCCUUGGCACCACCCUCCAUCCUGAUGUUAAAGCUUCAUUCUAAGGAAAAACUUCCUCUCCCUCUCCUCCACUUUUCCUCUCACGAGGUGUGCACCCUAGACCUCUCUCUCUCUCUCUCUCUCUCUCUCUCUCUCUCUCUCUCUCUCUCUCUCUCUCUCUUCUCUCUCUUUCCUAUCAUCUCUUUCCUUCAUAUGGUGUGAGUCCUUCCCAUCGUUUUUAAAAUACGACGUUGGUUCCCUGACUGAGAAGGCUUUCUUGGCAGUCUGAAAUGUGCUGGGACGCUGGAACCUAGUCCCCCAGGACCAGCCAUACUUUUCCACCUAAUGGAUCGGAUUGCUGGGACUUUCCAUUCAACACUGACAAAUGGUAAGCCCCCCACUUCUGGCCAUUUCCCACUAAUGAGGCUUUGUUUCUUAAGCACAGUCCUCAUCUUCUGGCUUUUCUCGAAGUCCUGGUAGCAGGCGACAGUGUCUCACUCGGGCUCCUAGCCCAUCAGCCCCUGCUUUUUUGGAUGACAGUCCACUGAAGCAGCUUGUGUCUUCUCGUUGGUCCUCACUGAAUCUAGAGAUUCCAGCCCUUGGAUAUCCUGUAACUCAAUGAUGGAAAAUGCACCUACCUCUAUAUCUAGCAUCUGAUUUAAGGGCUUAACUUCUCCACCCUUGCGGUCAGACUUGGCCCCAUAAAAUGGCCGCUGUCCAGCACCCUAUAUUCAUAGGAACUUCGUAACUUCUGCCAGCGAUUCCAUAGAUAGAAAGGGAUGCCUGGCUUUCAAGCUUUCUCUUCUCAAGUCCCUACUCCAAUGUAGCCUUUCAUUUUUUCACUCUGCUCUCCCACUCUCUCAGACCUUUAGCACUAACUCUGUUGUAUGUGGUGUGUUUUUUUAGUGGCGUACCGUGGCGGGCCCACCAAAGGUACCCACUUCAUGCUAGGAUCCUACCCGCCUGCUCCACCCGCAGCAGAUCUGCUCUUUAACCCGCAACAGAUCUGAUUUCUGAUCCACUCUCUUCCACUUGUAAUAAAUCUGCUUUCUCAUUCACCAAGAGCUUUGCCCUCCAUUCAAUACCUAGAAUUGGGUCUCUGGUGAGUCCACCUGCCUCUGACCAUUCCCCUAGAUGUAAGGCUUCAUUUCUCAAGCACAGUCCUCUCCUCGCCUUCUGGCUUUCUUAAAGUCGUGGUACCAGGUGACUGUGUCUCUCUUGGGCUCUUAUCCCUCAGCUCCUGUUUUUGCGUGACCAUGCACUGAACAGCUUUUGCCCACUUCCUCAAGCUACUGGCCCAGCUCUCGCACUUUGCUCGGUGGAACACUGAACAACUUGUGCUGUUCCCUCUGCCUCAUCCUUGGGCACUGUGUCAUACGCCUCCUUGCUCCUUGCUCUCUUUUGGAGACCCAUUGACCAUUCUUUGGACCAGGCAGUUGGGGAACUGAAAAAGAAUUCUCUACUUUCUUCCCUUUUCUUUGCUCCAAGACCUGCUUGUGUCUGUCUGCUCUCUCUGUAAAUGUUCUGUUUGCUGCAGUGUGUGAAUCAGAGAUGGAGAAGUUGGCCUUGUCUUGCACACACUGGUUCUCCCUUUCUAUUUACUCAACUCCUGUUUAAUUCUGUGUGUAUGUGCAUGUAACUAUUAACAGCAGCCACGUGGCUCUCCUCCAUCUUGGCUGGUGGCCUCAUCAUGAUUUCUUGUGAACUCCAGGGAGUCGACUUGGAUCUAUCUGAAUAGCAUCUUGCUAGGUCCAAGCGAAGCCAGAUGGUUCCACAGAGCCUGGACAGUGAAGUCAAACAGCCAGCUACCCCAGGACAUGGCCAGCACCCUAGUUUUCUCAGGUCCCACAAAGAUGAUCGAUGCCCCCCAGGCCAGCAGAAAGAACACAGCGCCCUCAUUCCUGCCUCACCUGCUACCCUUUUCUAACUCCUCACCUUUUUAUAACAAACAAAAGGGAGGAAUGUGAGUAUUUAGGCAUCUGUACUGGCCUGCCCUUAGGGUUCUGACAGGAUAUACCUCAGCUGCAGUCACUAAGAGCACCCUCUGUGCACAUUUGCUAUGUUUCCUUAUAAAAGGUGGGCCUUGUACACCUCCCAUCUCUCUCUCCUUUCUCUUUCCCUUCCUCAUCCCCAGGGACUGGUCCCUGCCCCCUUCUCUGCCCCUUCUCUCUCCCCUUCCCUCGAUAAACCUCCAAUAUGGGCCCUGCUGUAUGGUGUGACUCCUUCCUAACAUUUUUAAUGUACAACAUUGCCAUGUGGAUGCAGCAUCUGGGUUGUGAAUUACUGGCUGCCACUGCCGCCACCAUGCCCACAUGGUGUGCAUUUGCGCAGCCCGCAACUGCAUUUGCCCAGCAUGUUUCCCUGCAUGUAUGCAGGAUACUCUCGGGGUACACCUUAGCAAUAAUUCAUAACAUUGGUGCCCAAUGUCACCAGGCAAUCCCACUGCUUUCUCCUGCCCGCCAGCAAUCUGAGGAGUUCUGGGAUCUUUUACUACCUACCAUUUUUCAGGCUAGAGUACUGCCAGGGACUCUUCACUCUAUCUGAUUGGUAAGAUUCCUCCUUUCCCUUCUGGCCAUUUUCCCAUAAGUGAGGACUCAUCUCGUUGCACUUACUGGUACCACAUGUCUUUUAGGCUCUAGGCUCCUUAGCCCCCAUCUCUAUGUGAUGGCAUAUGGAAACAACUUGUGCUCACUCAAUUCCAGGGCCCAUAGUCUUUGUUAUGAUGCUCCACUGGCUAUCUUGUGCCAUUCAUUAGUCCUUGCUGACUAUGGGAUGCUAAAGGUCAGAUUUGUCUUGUUUCGCUUGCUGGGACCACAUGUCUUUGGGGCUCGUGGCCCUUCGGACCCCUGUCCCCAUGCAGCAGCAUAUGGAGACAGCCGGUGCCCUCUCGAUUCAAGCCUUUGUAACAGUGGUCCAUUGGUCAUCUUGCACUAUUAUCAUUAGCCCUAGCUGACCCUUUGGGAUGCUAGAGGUCAGUCCUUUGGGCCUUAUACCUCAUUAUGGAAAAAUGCACCUAUGACCCCGCCCCCACCACUGCUGCCAACCCAUGGCUUGGGCUCAUUCCCCUGCAGCUGCUCGUACCAUGCUGUAGCCCAGGAGUUCCUUCUGUCCUGACCAGCUGCUCUGCUACUUCUCCAUCUUUCUUUCACAAAGUCUAUUUCCUAUGUAUGAAUGGAAAGGUAUGAUUGAUGUGGCCAUCUAUAUUUCUUUCUGACUGACCUUUAAAUGUUUCAAUUUAUCUGUUCCUUGUCUGCUCAGUUUAUUAAAAAAAAAAAAACCACAUGAACACAUGGUCAGUCACCAUAUUUGAUAGGGGCAAUCACGUAAUCAGGCAGUGACAUCUUAAAUAAGGGCAACCACAUGGUCUAGCUGCUAAGAUCAAAACAGGCAGGUCAGAUGACCUCACCACCAUCUUUACUAAGGGCAGCAUGGGUGGGGCACCCGGCACUCAGGAUGUUGGUAUGGAGAGAGGUUAGGGAAUCGCCUCCUGCUGCGCAUUGUUUCACCAGCCAAGGAAAAGUCCUCUGGCCUUGGCCUGGCAUUCCCCAGCUGCCUCUCUUAGGCUCCAGCUGUCUGGGCAGGGCAGAGGUCCAGUCAUGAUCUGGCCUUUAUUCCUAUGCAGCCGCUCAUGUAGGCAGGGCCCAGAGACAUAUGCGCUCCCCUCUGGGGCAUCAAUGAAACCACAUGCAGGUGGUAUCAUUAUGUUAAGAUUUUAAAUUUCAGAUUUUAAUAUUAAUACAAUGCUGAUACAUUCUGAGUCACAAGCUCAGGAUUUUAAAUUUUCCUUGGUUACUCAUUACCUCUUUUUUUACAAUUUGGAUUUCAGUACUGAUUGAUAAUACUAAUCUAUCUAAAACUUUUAUUUUUUCCUCACUUGUCUAUUCCUGAGGAUAGUAUUUCUGUCCCUCCUGAUCUUCCUUUCCCAAUCACUAAGACCAAGGGCCAAAGGGUUCCAAAUAAAUUCAUACAUUUUAACUCUCAUCUCUAGUCUGUAUUUCAGCAGGCUGGCAGAAACAUCAAAGCAGCAGUUGUGGACCACAACCUGCAACGUUUUCCCUGCUACGGAUGUCAGCCCAGCCAAACGUAAUUGUUCCCUGCUUCUACAGGCAGGUCAGACAACCAAAUGCUUCUGAUAAAUGCCCCAUUGCCCAGCCUUUGACUGGCCUUUCAGCAUUCUGGGGGGCCCUGACAACCAUAUCCAAUGCUAGCUCAAAGCAGUUCCAGAAGAAAAUACAUCGUCCCAUGUCCCCUGUCCAGAAUAGGCUGAAAUGCUGGGUCAAAAGGAAACCUCCUGGCAUAGAGGACCAAUUAGCUAUCUAAUGCCCAUUGAUGUUUGUUAAUUAAAAUGGUUCUGCCCUAAGUUAAACACUUGACCUUUAUGCAGAACCAGGGAGGUAUUAAAUAACAUUAAGAAAUUAUUAUUUGUAUAUAAAUCAAUCAGGAUGAAGUUUCUGGUCCACCAAGAGGGUCCUUUUUCUCUUCUCAGAGGGUCCUUUUCUCAGAGUUGGGCUGCACCCUGACUCACAAGCCCCUUUUCUCCUGUUCUCAUUCAGCCUUGGGAUCUUUUCCCCUGUCACUCUUCUUUGCCUUCUCAGGAGACAGAAACCCUAGCCUCAUGGAAGCUGCUAAGAUAUGGGAGACUUAGGGAAUAGCAGUCAACAGUCAGCCUAAUAGACAGGCAGUCCUCAAAUGCUGAGAGAUCUGCAUUUAAAAUGUUAAUCAAAAAAAGCUUAUUAUAUCAGACAGAGACUCCCAGAUAUAACAGUAACCCAAGGUCUCUGAAGAAGAUGUCUCCAUGUGGAUGAUGGCAACAUUGACCUCUGGGCAAGUUUCCCAAAUGUGACACCUGCCACCAGGACCCAACCCAGACUGUGGACAAACAGCAGGACAUCGGGAAUUGAUUGCACCCCUUUUGCCUAGAUAAAAUAAGCUCAGUCUCCCGUGUGUCCCUCUUCCCCAGGAAAAACUCCCACCUCAUAGUCCUGAUGGGUCAAAGAUUGGUGCUGUUCUGAUACUUCCCUAGAGACCUGCGUAUGGCUAACUGGGUAUGGACUGGUCCCUGUCCUUUUUAACAAAUUUGAAAGCUGCUUGGUCUGCACUCAAAUAUGAUUUUUCCUUCUCAGAUCUCUGAUUCCAUUUGAUGACCAGGGUUUGCUUCAACUGCUUUCUUGGUUCUCUAUAUAAAAUUCACAGGUCCCCUUCUCCUAGGGCUACUACUAGGUCUAGACAUAAUUUACCUUGUUACCAGAUCAGAUAAACUCACAGAACACAUUUUAAUGUAACUUUUUACUAUUGACUGCUCUCCGUAUAUCCUGGUUUGUUUACAUGAAGAUAGGAAAUCUGACUCACUUCUUAAAUUUAUCCUUCUCAUAUCUGAUGAUGUUUGAUGACUAGGGUAUCACUUUAACAGCCCCAAUUCCAAGAUUUUAUAUAUAUAUUCCAAUUACAGAAUUGGAAGUCUCAUUCAUAGACUUCAUGGAACAGGAUAGACCAGUUUCAGACAUAACUCCAGAGGUUCAAAGUUUUAAUACUGAUAAGCUGAUUAAACUUUGAUAAACUGAUAGAACAUUGACUACAAAGAGUUCUUAAGAGUCCUUAAAUGGAUUUUUAGCCCUUUUGCCAUGAUGUAAAUCCAUUCCAGCUGUCUUACAGAUACCUACAGGCUCCUGGGAAAAGUUUUGCUACUGCAUCAAAAAAUGGAUCUGAUAAAAAUUAUCAAUCUCCAGAGCCCAUUUCUGACCCUACCUAUUUUUCAAGCAUAUUUUGCAGAUUCAUUGUUAUUGCCUGACCUCCAGAGAAACAACAGAUGCCAUGGCUUCUAUACUCCUGAUUUGGCAUGCCAUUUCCCCCCAAGCUCCUGGAACACCACUGCUGCAACCUGCCUCCUCGGCUCCCUCAAGGAACGGUCCUGAGAUCUGCUGUGCAUGACUCCCCCCAGUUCCCCCCUCCCCACUUUGCCCUUGUCAGCUUGAAGUAGCCUCGAGAAUUCAGCGCCCUUGUUCCCUCACUUGCUCCCAUAACUCACCUCUUUUUAUAAUAAUCAAAACGGAGGAAUGCUAAUAUUCUGACCCACCCCUUGAAAUCCCACCCACUUGGUGCCUCCUGUGUCCUGACAUAAGAGCCUCCUUCUAAGGAAAAGCUGCUCCCCUUCCCGUCACUUCUCCUCCCAUGAGGUGAGCACCCUUGACCUCUCUCUUCUCUCUCUUUCCUAUUUUUCUCUUCAUCUCUCUAUUAUAAUAAACUCUCCAUGUGGAUACAGCA